UACUUCAUAAACACAGAACCUACGAAGC
Molecule: non-coding RNA, 28 nt
Filed under: Bombyx mori (domestic silkworm)
Lineage: Eukaryota; Metazoa; Arthropoda; Insecta; Lepidoptera; Bombycidae
Source: RNAcentral